This 502-nucleotide long non-coding RNA is filed under the name Rattus norvegicus (Norway rat). RNAcentral's name for it is "long non-coding RNA NONRATT009924". The record is from RNAcentral. Lineage: Eukaryota; Metazoa; Chordata; Mammalia; Rodentia; Muridae.
UCCCUUUCCUCAUGGCAAGACGCAUGGAAGAAGAGUGCUGUUAAGGCCUCUCCAUUAAUCAACAGAAUUUUAAAAGUGAAGAGCUAGAUCAAUGGUCGACAAAUGCAGUGUUAGAGAAUGCAUGCAUGCACCAUAUCCAUCUAGAAGGCUUUCACCUGAGUGCAUGAGGAAUCUCUGUGACACAAAAUGUAAAGAAGGCUCACUCUGGUAUAAUUUUGUUCUCCACUUUCUUUCUCCCUCCCUUCUUCCUUCCCUCUCUCCGUCUCUUCUCCCACCCCACCCCUCAGUACAGUUGAACCGAAAAUUUCUUUCCUUUAACUUGCCCCUGUUUAUCAGUAUUUCCUUGGUGGGAGGGAGCUAAAUGCUACUUCUUUUUCCAAUGAAAGGUUUUUUUUUUCAGAUUUAAAUUAAACUGAUGAUACUGUGUCAACACAUCUAAAUGUUUAUGUAUCUCUGGAUAGUCUUUUCUGGUUUAUUGCUCAGCCAUUUAAAUUUUUCCAUU